CAGAUUUGGGAGAAACUACAGAGCCUCUUCCAAGAUGCUGGUGGCCCUCCUCACAAUGGUCCUGCUGGGCCUGAGCUUUGCUCAGGAACCAGAACUUCAGAACCUAAACCAGGUCCCCAAUCAGAGGCCACCACCUUCAGGAUUCCUACCAAGACCACCUGGUAAUAGGAACCAGCAAGGCCCACCACCAAAAGGAGGCCCACAGCAGAGACCUCCUCAAGGCCCACCCCCACCAGGAGGUCCACAGCAGAAACCUCAAGGCCCACCCCCACCAGGAGGCCCACAGCAGAGACCUCAAGGCCCACCCCCACCAGGAGGCCCACAGCAGGGACCUCAAGGCCCACCCCCACCAGGAGGCCCACAGCAGAGACCUCAAGGCCCACCCCCACCAGGAGGCCCACAGCAGGGACCUCAAGGCCCACCCCCACCAGGAGGCCCACAGCAGGGACCUCAAGGUCCACCCCCACCAGGAGGUCCACAGCAGAGCCCCCCUCAAGGUCCACCCCCACCAGGAGGUCCACAGCAGGGACCUCAAGGCCCACCCCCACCAGGAGGUCCACAGCAGGGACGUCAAGGUCCACCCCCACCAGGAGGCCCUCAGCAAAGACCUCCUCAAGGCCCACCCCCACCAGGAGGCCCACAGCAGAGACCUCCUCAUGAAUUUCAGAAACUAAGAAAGUGGUUCCCUCACACUCUUCUUCCACUGCCACCACAGGAUGAGAACUGGAUCUUCAUUCACUGCAUUAAUAAAAUGAUCAGCAUGCAACUUCUGAUUGGUGUAUUUCUUUCUUGGUGUUCUUCCUCCCACAAUAUCAGGACUCACAAUUACCUAAAAUCACCCAUAUUCUCUCAGGGCUUCAGCCUGUAAUUUCUCCCAGCAACUGUCCAUAAGCCAGUUACCAGGUACCAGGUCUUUUACUGCUGUGUUUCUGCCUGAGUCAUAAAGCAGACACUCUCUUCCCAGUGUUGUGUAGUAUCUAUCUCUGAAAAUGGGUGUUUGGGUGUUGCUUUGCCUAAUCUGGGGUGCAAGGUCAAGCAGCUAUGAACCAAAUGCCAAGGCAAAGGGUCGUGGUGCAUAUGGAUGUGUCCUGGGGCACCAGUGUGUCUCAGAGAAAGGGAGGAAUGACCAAACAUCUUUGGAAGAAGUAGUAGGCUGAUAGGCUAUAAUCACUGAUAUACUGGUCUGCAGUGGCUAUAGGUCAUCCAAGGUAGAUAGCAGAGUUUUCAAGACAUGGCUGCACCCUUGUGUUGUCUUACUCAUGGUUUCAUGUCCUCUACAAAACAUCAUGGCCAAGAAGCAAGUUGGAGUGGAAAGGACAUAUUCACCUUACAAUUCCACAUUUCUGCUCACAACCAAAGGAAAUUAGGACUGAAUUCA
Molecule: long non-coding RNA, 1378 nt
Filed under: Rattus norvegicus (Norway rat)
Lineage: Eukaryota; Metazoa; Chordata; Mammalia; Rodentia; Muridae
Description: long non-coding RNA NONRATT020937
Source: RNAcentral